Molecule: unclassified non-coding RNA, 475 nt
Filed under: Carex firmula
Lineage: Eukaryota; Viridiplantae; Streptophyta; Magnoliopsida; Poales; Cyperaceae
Description: partial external transcribed spacer
Source: RNAcentral
CGAGGUCGUCCCUCGAUGGAUAUUUGCUUGCCUUUCCGACGCACUGUCGUCCGGGCGGCCGAAUUGUUGGCGAAAUCCCUGUGUCGGUGCGCGGUCGGACGCCGCGUUGCUAUCGCUUGGAUUUCUGCCGGCUCUCACGGAUGCGGUGCCUAUUGCCAGCUCUGCGGGGCUCUGCCCCGCAGACUUCGGGAGGUCCCUCGCGCGCAUCACUGCUCUCAUACGCCGUCUGUCGUGUUGCCGGUGGCGACGCGCAGAUCGUGUUCUGCCGUGCUGUAGUUAACGACGCGCCAGAACAAAGUGUCCGGAGCGUGCUCGCGCGCGUGCGGACUGCCUCUCGUUCGUAUGAGCAGCGAUUUCCGGUCCGCGUCGUGCGAAGGCGCGCCCGUUCGGGUUGGCGCCGGAGCCGACGCGCCGGCUCUCGUUUAAGACGUGCUACCUGGUUGAUCCUGCCAGUAGUCAUAUGCCUUGUCUAGAA